AGUGGGAUGUCUCCAAACAUUCUCCAACGUGCACUCCCAUCCAUGGAUGAGCUGAGCAAAAUAUAUCUCCAUGAUCUCCAACACAUACUCUUUAUCCACAGACGAGCCAAGCAUGAUGCAUCUCCACGGUCUCCAACACGCAAUCCUCAUCUAUGGAUGAGCUAAGCAAAAUACGUCUCCACGAUUUUCAACACAUGCUCCUCAUCCAUAGAUGAGUCGAGCGCGAUGCAUCUCCA
RNAcentral lists this long non-coding RNA (236 nucleotides) under Elaeis guineensis (African oil palm). RNAcentral describes it as "long non-coding RNA (EGUI_LNC001886)". Lineage: Eukaryota; Viridiplantae; Streptophyta; Magnoliopsida; Arecales; Arecaceae. The record is from RNAcentral.